Molecule: ribosomal RNA, 316 nt
Filed under: Ruminococcus flavefaciens
Lineage: Bacteria; Bacillati; Bacillota; Clostridia; Eubacteriales; Oscillospiraceae
Description: partial 16S ribosomal RNA
Source: RNAcentral
GGAGUCUGGGCCGUGUCUCAGUCCCAAUGUGGCCGUUCAACCUCUCAGUCCGGCUACUGAUCGUCGACUUGGUGAGCCGUUACCUCACCAACUAUCUAAUCAGACGCGAGCCCAUCUUUGAGUGAUAAAUCUUUGAUAAUAGUAUCAUGCGGUACCAUUAUGUUAUGAGGUAUUACCAUCCGUUUCCAGAAGCUAUCCCUCUCUCAAAGGUAGGUUGCUCACGUGUUACUCACCCGUCCGCCACUAAGAUUACCUAAGUAAACUCAAAUAAUCUCCGUUCGACUUGCAUGUGUUAAGCGUGCCGCCAGCGUUCGUC